RNAcentral lists this ribosomal RNA (246 nucleotides) under uncultured bacterium. RNAcentral describes it as "partial 16S ribosomal RNA". It matches the Rfam family "Bacterial small subunit ribosomal RNA", at positions 92 to 334 of the family's 1533-position model. The record is from RNAcentral.
UUAGUGGCGAACGGGUGAGUAAUACGUGAGUAACCUACCUUUAACUCUGGGAUAAGCCUGGGAAACUGGGUCUAAUACCGGAUACGACCAAUCUCCGCAUGGGGUGUUGGUAGAAAGCGUUAUGUAGUGGUUAUAGAUGGGCUCACGGCCUAUCAGCUUGUUGGUGAGGUAACGGCUCACCAAGGCGACGACGGGUAGCCGGCCUGAGAGGGUGACCGGCCACACUGGGACUGAGACACGGCCCAG